GAAAACUGCGGAGGGAUCAUUACAAGUGACCCCGGUCUAACCACCGGGGAUGUUCAUAACCCUUUGUUGUCCGACUCUGUUGCCUCCGGGGCGACCCUGCCUUCGGGCGGGGGCUCCGGGUGGACACUUCAAACUCUUGCGUAACUUUGCAGUCUGAGUAAACUUAAUUAAUAAAUUAAAACUUUUAACAACGGAUCUCUUGGUUCUGGCAUCGAUGAAGAACGCAGCGAAAUGCGAUAAGUAAUGUGAAUUGCAGAAUUCAGUGAAUCAUCGAAUCUUUGAACGCACAUUGCGCCCCCUGGUAUUCCGGGGGGCAUGCCUGUUCGAGCGUCAUUUCACCACUCAAGCCUCGCUUGGUAUUGGGCAACGCGGUCCGCCGCGUGCCUCAAAUCGACCGGCUGGGUCUUCUGUCCCCUAAGCGUUGUGGAAACUAUUCGCUAAAGGGUGUUCGGGAGGCUACGCCGUAAAACAACCCCAUUUCUAAGGUUGACCUCGGAUCAGGUAGGGAUACCCGCUGAACUUAAGCAUAUCAAUAA
RNAcentral lists this unclassified non-coding RNA (536 nucleotides) under Cladosporium crousii. RNAcentral describes it as "sequence contains ITS1, 5.8S rRNA gene and ITS2". The stretch from base 180 to 333 matches the Rfam family "5.8S ribosomal RNA". Lineage: Eukaryota; Fungi; Ascomycota; Dothideomycetes; Cladosporiales; Cladosporiaceae. The record is from RNAcentral.